GUGCACGCUGGCGGUAGGCCUCACACCUGCAAGUCGAACGGCAGCACCGUAAGAGCUUGCUCUUACGGGUGGCGAGUGGCGGACGGGUGAGGAAUACAUCGGAAUCUACUUUUUCGUGGGGGAUAACGUAGGGAAACUUACGCUAAUACCGCAUACGACCUACGGGUGAAAGCAGGGGAUCUUCGGACCUUGCGCGAUUGAAUGAGCCGAUGUCGGAUUAGCUAGUUGGCGGGGUAAAGGCCCACCAAGGCGACGAUCCGUAGCUGGUCUGAGAGGAUGAUCAGCCACACUGGAACUGAGACACGGUCCAGACUCCUACGGGAGGCAGCAGUGGGGAAUAUUGGACAAUGGGCGCAAGCCUGAUCCAGCCAUACCGCGUGGGUGAAGAAGGCCUUCGGGUUGUAAAGCCCUUUUGUUGGGAAAGAAAAGCAGCAGGUUAAUACCCCGCUGUUCUGACGGUACCCAAAGAAUAAGCACCGGCUAACUUCGUG
This 491-nucleotide ribosomal RNA is filed under the name uncultured bacterium. Its description in RNAcentral is "partial 16S ribosomal RNA". It matches the Rfam family "Bacterial small subunit ribosomal RNA", at positions 29 to 507 of the family's 1533-position model. The record is from RNAcentral.